CGGGAGGCGGUGCAGCGCCAAAAUCAGCGCGUGUCGGAUCCGGUCGAGGGUUAUGGCGACACGGACACGGAGGCUCUGGCCGUGGCCACCGCGAUGUAUGCCCCGCCCCUGCUUGCCGAGCACUACCUCGCCGGGAGGAGGGUUAUGGCGACACGGACACGGAGGCUCUGGCCGUGGCCACCGCGAUGUAUGCCCCGCCCCUGCUUGCCGAGCACUACCUCGCCGGAUCACAUGUUGUUUGAUUCACUGUUUGGUUGAAGUGUAUACUGAUUACACCUUCUACCAUGUUGAUUCGCUGCAGAUAGACGUGAUGGUGAGGGUUGUCGACGGGUCUUUGUCCCAUGUGGUGGCCGAGUCGAGGUGAACACAGGCAAUGUUCGUCAUGCUUAACAGGUAAUGUCAAAGCAACUCAAUUUCUUCAAAAAUUGUAAUUUUGGUUUCAUCCUGCUUUCUUUUCGCAAAUACAGGUUCAAUACUUCUAUUUGUUUUUUAGCUCAUGUUAUACUAAUGUGAGGUUUAGCAUUAGGGGUAACUUUAUGCAAUUACACUUAGUCAAUAGCCUUUUCUGUUGCUCUCGGAUUUUUAUGUGGGUAAUGGUGUGAUCUCCGUACAGACUAUAGAUGUUGAUGAAAUACAUGUCACGCUGAAAAAUAGCAUGUCCGAGAUAAGGCAAUGGAACCUUCAUGCUUAUGAUGUAAAGGUUUUUGAGCAGAGGGACGCCCGUGAGAUCUCCUGGUGGUGUUCGGACGCGGCCGCCAGAGUUGUGGCCUUGGCUGCGGCCAUGGGCAGUUGUUGGAGACAAGCGAGGUCGGGCUUGGUUCGUCGGAUCUGUGAGUGGUAGGUUGAUUCAUGUUGGUUUUACAAGGCGGAGAAGUUUUCGUCCAAGCUUGACCACCACGUUUUUUUGUGUUCGAUGGGCUUGCACCGGAAUUUGCAGGGAGAAGCUUGCAUUGUAGCAGGCCGUGUCUACCUACAAGACGGCCAUCGACAAUCAAUUCCUGAAGAAGUUAGCAGUCUGUGCAGUAUGCUAUGGAUCAUCGUGUCCAUCAAGAGCAAUCCCUAUUGUUUGUGGUACAUAUAUUCAUCUCUGUUGAAUCUGGAACUUGGUAACUAAUUUGCCCCGUGUAUAGGUAGACAUCGAUCAAUAUGAGAGGAUGCUUAGCUACAUAUUAAUCCUUGUCAAUUCAGUACAAAUUUACUGAAUUUACAGAUGGAGGUUGUUGAGAGAACUUUAGCUAACAAUUAUAUGUCCUCGGUGAUGUACAAGCAAACACUAAAUUUUUGCAGUGUACAAAGUCCUUGAGUAAUUCCUGGCGCUACAAGUUUAAAAAAAAGAUGCCGGGUCUCUACCAUAUUCAGCCUCCACUUCAGAAUUUGAUUUGAACUAUAGGACAGUCGGUUGCUUUUGGUAAUUUAUGCCACUAAUUCUCGGUCCUUUGUGUGAGCUAUGUUUUCCUUGCACUUUUGCUUCUUAUUUACAGAUUGUUAUGGUGUCAGGUUUACUUGCCUACAAGUUUGGUUCCACUUGGUACGGACACCGUGCUCUGCUGUCAGCAUAUCUGUAGUAUCAGGAUAUUGUUACUACCUUGAAUGCUGAAUUUAAGGAUGUCUUGUCAUGUAUUACUCUCACUCCCUUCUGAAUUAUGAGGUCAUCCCAUGGUAGUCCACUAAUCUGGUGUCUGGUCCAUCUUCUUACCCUUGCAAUUUUAGCAUCAUCUAUCCAAUCUUACCCUAACUAUGUCCAGACUGUCAAAUAUUUCAAACAAUAAGAAAUUUGAAGUUCAGAAUAUGACAAGUAUCUAAAAAUGGAUUCAUUUUUGGAGAAAUAACAUUGUGUAGAGUGGAAAUGCAGAACUAUAUGUUCCUAUUACACCAACUGGUAUUGACUAUGUGGUCAACCUUCUUAGAAAAAACUACAAAGUCUAAACAUUAGUGUGUGAUACAUAUGGAAAAUUGUGAUGUCUAUGUUUUUGAAAUAUUUUACUUUAGAAAAAGUUUUAAACGGGGCAUUGCAUUAUGUUUUAUAUUUUUUGCCAAGACGCUCCGCGGGGAGAUGGCACAUGACCGGCAAGGCGGCGUUCUACAGCGCACCAGCCCGCAACAGAGGCGGCGUCCGCAGCGCAGCCGUGUACUUCGGUGCGCACCGCGGGGCCAGUGCUACCUGCCACCGUCGCGGCCCCGGCGCUGCUCCUCCCAGAUGGUGGUGCCCAUGGUCGUGGCCCACUGGCCCCCAGACGGGCUCUCUGCUGAGGCGCGCGGGUGAGGAACUGGCUCCUCUAACUUCGCUCCUGUGAAGUUAGGAAAACAGUACUCUAACUUAGUCUGUGAACCAUCAGAUGGAAAAUAGAUGGUCAAGAUUCUGCACUGUUCACAUGGGGUUGUAGCAUACUGUUUGGACGAGCACUGUAGCUAAAAUCACUGUUUGUUACCUGUAGCAAUUGACAUUGUUUAAGAACUGUAGCGAUAGAUCUCAGCCAUUUAUUCUAGAUCCAACGGAUGAAAUGUGGCUAAGUUAGGCUCCUAACUUCACAGUAGCUAAGUUAGAGGAGCCGGUUCCCGCGGGUGGCUGCCUCUGACUUGAAGUGUUCUGCCUCUGACUUGAAGUGUUCUCGAGAUUUGUACGUUGAUUGCUUGGCCGUCGCUUUGUGCUGUCACUGCGUGUACUGAAGAUUAGUUAUUUCGCUUUGACUUGGAGUGAGAUGCAGUGGGUUCAGGUUGCUGCUGCUGAAUUUUUUAUGUGAUAUUCGAAUGACUGUGUGUCUGCGUAGUUGCGCUUCUGACAAUGUGGCCUUCCUUUGCUGACCGAAGUUAGUGAGUUGUUCAGCAUGCUUGACUUUGUUCUUAGCAAGGAAAUUUGUGGUGAUUCGUAAUCAAACUGGCAAAGAACAUCCUUACUUCUGAUUAUGUUUGAAGAUGAGUACUCUCAGAGGGAGGUACGAUGGAUGGUUGAGCUGAGACCUACUGUUUGAUGUUUGUUUGCCUUUGCUUUGUAAUAAGUGAGGGCUGAAGUGACCUACUGUUUGAUGUUUGUUUGCCUUUGCUUUGUAAUAAGUGAGGGCUGAAGUGAAUGAAUCUGGAAGUGCUUUAGCGAUUGAUGCUCUGUCCCAAGUUAAACAUAUUCUACCUCUGGUCACUGACCGCAACCCUUACCUUUGAGAGUACUCAUCUUUCAUGGCUGAUUUCUCUACCGCAACUGAAAUUGCAACUUCCAUGAUGACGCUGUUAGGCCGGAUUAUAUUCCAAAGAUUUGGCUAGGGGGUGGCUGACAUGAUCACCCCGACAGUUUUGUUGGUGAUUGGCGUUGGUUUCUUCUGUCUGAUUUUGUUUGGGCAACCACUGACUCCUCUGCUUGCCACGUGGGUUAUGACCCCUCUUCUUGUGGCUGUUUAUGUGGGUGCGCUUCAAUCCAAUUCCCCGCUGUAGAAUAUAUUUAGCAAGAGUGCAAUGUAUAGUUUUUCAACCCGUGCAAGGAAAUGACCUAUAUUCCUUUGGAUAGCGAUAUGAAGGUUUGUUCAUCCUUCCAAACUCCAUUUUUAUCUGUGUGAUUCCUUGGUAAUUUUUCUGUGAAAAAAUAUAUUCAAGUUACUGAUGUUCUUUUCUGCCUAAUGGUAUUUCAUGUAUGUUAAUUGGUUUCUUUAUAUGUGUUUACUGUAGCAAAUUCCUGAUUGACUACAUGUAAAUAUUAGUAAAUAAUUUAUGCAUAAUUAUCGGUUACUGUCAUGAGGAAUUUAGUAUGGCAACUUGAUAAUAUCUGUUCAUUUUUCCCAGGAUGCAGCUGAGAGAUACCUUUAUUAAACAUACCAAAUCUCAUAUAGAGCUCAGCAUGCUCUUGUAGUUCGAUAACGACAUUACUUGUUUUUCCCUGCUGUCGAAUGUGUUGUAAACUUUCAACAAGUGCAGUUCCUUGCCGUGAGCAGUCUUAGAUGAUCAGUGGACAUGUAGCCUUAUUUCUGACGUCCAAAUUUCAUCGUACAAAAAGAAAUACUCAGUGUAAUCAUAUUUCUGACGUUUGCAAAAAAUAAUUUAAAAAAUGUUGCAUAA
RNAcentral lists this long non-coding RNA (4041 nucleotides) under Triticum aestivum (bread wheat). RNAcentral describes it as "long non-coding RNA (TAES_LNC026033)". The record is from RNAcentral. Lineage: Eukaryota; Viridiplantae; Streptophyta; Magnoliopsida; Poales; Poaceae.